AAAACGACUCUCGGCAACGGAUAUCUUGGCUCUCGCAUCGAUGAAGAACGCAGCAAAAUGCGAUACUUGGUGUGAAUUGCAGAAUCCCGUGAACCAUCGAGUUUUUGAACGCAAGUUGCGCCCGAAGCUAUUAUGCCGAGGGCACGUCUGCCUGGGCGUCACGC
This 164-nucleotide ribosomal RNA is filed under the name Fraxinus chinensis. RNAcentral describes it as "5.8S ribosomal RNA". It matches the Rfam family "5.8S ribosomal RNA". From Rfam's summary of the family: 5.8S ribosomal RNA (5.8S rRNA) is a component of the large subunit of the eukaryotic ribosome. It is transcribed by RNA polymerase I as part of the 45S precursor that also contains 18S and 28S rRNA. Lineage: Eukaryota; Viridiplantae; Streptophyta; Magnoliopsida; Lamiales; Oleaceae. The record is from RNAcentral.